This 532-nucleotide ribosomal RNA is filed under the name uncultured bacterium. RNAcentral's name for it is "bacterial SSU rRNA". It matches the Rfam family "Bacterial small subunit ribosomal RNA", at positions 8 to 548 of the family's 1533-position model. The record is from RNAcentral.
AGAGUUUGAUCAUGGCUCAGGAUAAACGCUGGCGGCGCACAUAAGACAUGCAAGUCGAACGAACUUAACCUUAAGUUUACUUUUGGAGCGGUUAGUGGCGGACUGGUGAGUAACGCGUAAGCAAUCUGCCUAUCAGAGGGGAAUAACAGUGAGAAAUCACUGCUAAUACCGCAUAAGCUGUGAGUAUCGCAUGAUACAAGCAGAAAAGGAGCAAUCCGCUGAUAGAUGAGCUUGCGUCUGAUUAGUUAGUUGGCGAGGUAACGGCCCACCAAGACGAUGAUCAGUAGCCGGACUGAGAGGUUGAACGGCCACAUUGGGACUGAGAUACGGCCCAGACUCCUACGGGAGGCAGCAGUCGGGAAUAUUGCGCAAUGGAGGAAACUCUGACGCAGUGACGCCGCGUGCAGGAAGAAGGUUUUCGGAUUGUAAACUAUUGUCGUUAGGGAAGAUAAAAGACAGUACCUAAGGAGGAAGCUCCGGCUAACUACGUGCCAGCAGCCGCGGUAAUACGUAUGGUGCAAGCGUUAUCCGG